CCUACGGGGGGCAGCAGUGGGGAAUAUUGGGCAAUGGGCGAAAGCCUGACCCAGCAACGCCGCGUGAAGGAAGAAGGCUUUCGGGUUGUAAACUUCUUUUGACAGGGAAGAGCAGAAGACGGUACCUGUCGAAUAAGCCACGGCUAACUACGUGCCAGCAGCCGCGGUAAUACGUAGGGGGCAAGCGUUAUCCGGAUUUACUGGGUGUAAAGGGGGCGCAGACGGCAAUGCAAGCCAGGAGUGAAAGCCCGGGGCCCAACCCCGGGACUGCCCUUGGAACUGCAUGGCUGGAGUACAGGAGAGGCAGGCGGAAUUCCUGGUGUAGCGGUGAAAUGCGUAGAUAUCAGGAGGAACACCGGCGGCGAAGGCGGCCUGCUGGACCGCGACUGACGUUGAGGCUCGAAAGCGUGGGGAGCGAACAGGAUUAGAUACCCUAGUAGUC
This 442-nucleotide ribosomal RNA is filed under the name uncultured bacterium. RNAcentral describes it as "partial 16S ribosomal RNA". It matches the Rfam family "Bacterial small subunit ribosomal RNA", at positions 338 to 795 of the family's 1533-position model. The record is from RNAcentral.